Molecule: ribosomal RNA, 253 nt
Filed under: uncultured bacterium
Lineage: Bacteria
Description: partial 16S ribosomal RNA
Rfam family: Bacterial small subunit ribosomal RNA
Source: RNAcentral
UACGUAGGGACCAAGCGUUGUUCGGAUUUACUGGGCGUAAAGGGCGCGUAGGCGGCGUGUUAAGUCACUUGUGAAAUCUCUAAGCUUAACUUAGAACGGUCAAGUGAUACUGAUGUGCUAGAGUGCAGAAGGGGCAACCGGAAUUCUUGGUGUAGCGGUGAAAUGCGUAGAUAUCAAGAGGAACACCUGAGGUGAAGACGGGUUGCUGGGCUGACACUGACGCUGAGGCGCGAAAGCCAGGGGAGCGAACGGG